UCAGGUAAACAUACUCUUUAAGCCAGCAGCCUAGCUUUCUCCUUUGCGCUCAUACAACUUAGGUCAUCCCACCGCGGAUUGAACCUCUUGUGUUCGCAGUUUGGCUACCCAUAAAUGAGAUAAACUUCUCCUGCCUGUAGUUUAUCCUUAACCUAGGAUUAAACUUUCUCCUCCUCGUACUCUGACCUGCACAUGGGAUUACUCUUGUUUUCUCACCCUGAGGGGAGAACUACGUCGACCUGAUCUCCUGUUCAAUAGGAGUACGUAGGUAACCAUUUC
This 279-nucleotide long non-coding RNA is filed under the name Panax ginseng (ginseng). RNAcentral's name for it is "long non-coding RNA (PGIN_LNC011675)". The record is from RNAcentral. Lineage: Eukaryota; Viridiplantae; Streptophyta; Magnoliopsida; Apiales; Araliaceae.